AAACUCAAUUUAGCAGCACAUACACUGAAACUGGAACGGUAUAGAAAAGAUUAGCAAGGUCCCAGGCAAGGACAACACACAAAUUCAUGAAGUAUUCUCUAUUUUU
Molecule: small nuclear RNA, 106 nt
Organism: Cavia porcellus (domestic guinea pig)
Lineage: Eukaryota; Metazoa; Chordata; Mammalia; Rodentia; Caviidae
Source: Ensembl